This 610-nucleotide ribosomal RNA is filed under the name uncultured organism. RNAcentral describes it as "bacterial SSU rRNA". It matches the Rfam family "Bacterial small subunit ribosomal RNA", at positions 202 to 820 of the family's 1533-position model. The record is from RNAcentral.
UAAAGCUCCAGCGCUUCGAGAUGAAUCUGCGUCCUAUCAGCUAGUUGGUAGAGUAAUGGUCUACCAAGGCUAAGACGGGUAACUGGUCUGAGAGCAUGGUCCCCCACAGUGGCACUGAAAUACGGGCCACACUCCUACGGGAGGCAGCAAUCAGGAAUCUUGCACAAUCGACGAAACUCUGAUGCAGCGACACCGCGUGAGCGAUGAAGACCCUCGGGUUGUAAACUCCUUUUAUGGUCGUAACAGAUUCUGGAUGGAGUCCCGAAUAAUCACCUCGCGUAAUUGCUUGCCGCCAAGCAUCCGUGGAAGCGUGGUAGUGCGAGCGUGAUCCUCCAUAAUAGGGCGUGUAGAGAUCCUUAAGCGCUGUUGCUAAGUCUGCGUGUCUAAACCUCCGGGCUCACCUCAGAGAGGUCGAGCAUACUAUCAGAAUUGAAAGGCAGAGGAGGAAGUCGAAUUCCCCGUGUGAUCCGUGAAAUGCCUUGAAUUCCGGAAGAACCCCCAUGUGCCAAAGGCAGUCCCUUGCUCUGUUCUUAAGCCUAAGCGCGAAAGCUUGGAGAGCAAACCGGAUUAGAUACCCGUGUAGUCCAAGCCGUAAACGAUGGAUACUGGA